CUGAAAUGAAUGAACAGAAAAAUACAGAAGUCAAUAAGGCUAACUGGAUGAUAUCUCAAUGGUAUGUUUGCUUAUCAACUGACCAUAAAAUGGACAAAUUUUCCUGAAGAUCUAACAGUGAAAAGGAGAGUCAAUCUAUGCAAUCAUAAAAGUUCUUAUAAGUGGAAUAAGGCAGAACUGGGGUAGAGACAGGGAUUUGGCAAUAUGAAAAGGAUCUGGCCUGAUGUCCUGGGCUUUGAAGACAGAGGAAUGACACCACAAGGCUGAAGGGAAUUACUGGGGAAUUGAAUUACUUUGCUGAAGGGCUACACAAUUCUUGGGCAAAACUGGCUGGUAUCUUAUUAGCAUAGAAAAAGAUGCCCAUCAAAGUAACUUCAAUUUGCAAAUAAAACACUGAU
Mustela erminea (ermine) is the source of this 398-nucleotide long non-coding RNA. RefSeq lists it as uncharacterized. The record is from RefSeq and is a predicted model, not a curated record. NCBI's taxonomy places the organism in Eukaryota, Metazoa, Chordata, Mammalia, Carnivora, Mustelidae. The transcript is spliced from 3 exons.